UAGGGAAUCUUCGGCAAUGGACGAAAGUCUGACCGAGCAACGCCGCGUGAGUGAAGAAGGUUUUCGGAUCGUAAAACUCUGUUGUUAGAGAAGAACAAGGACGUUAGUAACUGAACGUCCCCUGACGGUAUCUAACCAGAAAGCCACGGCUAACUACGUGCCAGCAGCCGCGGUAAUACGUAGGUGGCAAGCGUUGUCCGGAUUUAUUGGGCGUAAAGCGAGCGCAGGCGGUUUCUUAAGUCUGAUGUGAAAGCCCCCGGCUCAACCGGGGAGGGUCGUUGGAAACUGUGAGACUUGAGUGCAGAAGAGGAGAGUGGAAUUCCAUGUGUAGCGGUGAAAUGCGUAGAUAUAUGGAGGAACACCAGUGGCGAAGGCGGCUCUCUGGUCUGUAACUGACGCUGAGGCUCGAAAGCGUGGGGAGCAAACAGG
This 429-nucleotide ribosomal RNA is filed under the name Gemmatimonadota bacterium. RNAcentral describes it as "Gemmatimonadetes bacterium partial 16S ribosomal RNA". It matches the Rfam family "Bacterial small subunit ribosomal RNA", at positions 355 to 776 of the family's 1533-position model. Lineage: Bacteria; Pseudomonadati; Gemmatimonadota. The record is from RNAcentral.